CUCCAACUCUGCAAACACUGAUGCUACAGCGGAACGGAUGAGUCAGCUCAAGGAACUGGGACACAUCAGUUUUACAAUGUCACUGAUGGUGGAGAGGAGAGUCAGGUCAGGUACUGAUCACAAGACAAAUCCUGCCCGAAUCAUCAC
Notolabrus celidotus (New Zealand spotty) is the source of this 147-nucleotide long non-coding RNA. RefSeq lists it as uncharacterized. The record is from RefSeq and is a predicted model, not a curated record. NCBI's taxonomy places the organism in Eukaryota, Metazoa, Chordata, Actinopteri, Labriformes, Labridae. The transcript is spliced from 3 exons.